RNAcentral lists this long non-coding RNA (394 nucleotides) under Nicotiana benthamiana. RNAcentral describes it as "long non-coding RNA (NBEN_LNC016331)". Lineage: Eukaryota; Viridiplantae; Streptophyta; Magnoliopsida; Solanales; Solanaceae. The record is from RNAcentral.
CCCUAUAUUCGGUGACUAGUACUCGAUUUCCUUUGCAAAGUUAGACCUAUGCUUAGAUACUUCUAGCAGGUUCAUUAAUUAAAGGGAGCCUUCUCCCUGAUUGUUUAGGAUUGGUACUGCUGAAUAUUUUCUUGCCUUAAAGGUUGCAUUCUUUCAAACUAUAAAUAGGCCAAAUCUAUUUGUGUAUUUUAAUUUAAGUUAGCAUGUUUAAUCCCCUUCCCCUUUUCCUUUGUCUGUUCAGUUUAAGCUUUAACAUGUUGAAUCCCUUUCCCCAUUUCCCUUGUCUGUGUGUUUGUCUGUUCAGUUUAAGCUUUAACAUGUUUAAUCCCUUUCCCCAUUUCCUUGUCUGUGUGUAGUUCAGUUGCAACAUAUUUAGUUCUCCAUUUUUCCUUGU